RNAcentral lists this long non-coding RNA (435 nucleotides) under Strongylocentrotus purpuratus (purple sea urchin). RNAcentral describes it as "uncharacterized LOC115924205". Lineage: Eukaryota; Metazoa; Echinodermata; Echinoidea; Camarodonta; Strongylocentrotidae. The record is from RNAcentral.
UUGAGGAAGUUAAGUUGAAAAAUAACUUGAUCUUGGAUUGCGAGCACUUUAGAGCUCAUUUUUUUUUAAAUAUCCUGAAGUGAAGGCCUGUUUCGGGUUCAUUGGUACACGGGAAGCAAUUAGAAGGGUAGUACAGUGAUGAUUAUUUAACAAUCAGAAAUUCACUCGGACUAUCGUCGUGAGAGCAAGCUUCCAAACCAGUCUCAUCGCCAGCUUGGCCAACUGUCGGAUAGUAUCUACCUAGGCAGUAUGUCGGAGAAGGAGAGAACCAUGUCUGGGACAACAGAAACUCCUAUGUUUUUGCACAAGGCAGGGUUCCUCAAGCGAACGGACAAAGAACAACUGGUGAUGUGCAAGCUAGUUCCACGUGACAUCGGGGAGCGUCCAGAGAUUCAAAUAUUCACCGAUGGAUCCGAAGAACCAACUUCUAUCGUC